GCAGGGAAGAGGAAGAAAGAGAGCUCCUAAGAGCGGUAGGAAUGGGAACAUGAAGGAAUGCGUAUGCUCUAGUAUCUCUAGCAUUGGAGGCGGAUACUUGCAUCGAUGUGUUCCUGAUGCCUCCCAUUCCUAUGGUUCUUAGGCCCUCCUUCCUCUUCCUUUUGCUA
Molecule: microRNA precursor, 167 nt
Filed under: Setaria italica (foxtail millet)
Lineage: Eukaryota; Viridiplantae; Streptophyta; Magnoliopsida; Poales; Poaceae
Also listed under: 1 other name
Description: MIR2118 microRNA precursor family
Rfam family: MIR2118 microRNA precursor family
Source: Rfam by way of RNAcentral